Molecule: ribosomal RNA, 438 nt
Filed under: uncultured bacterium
Lineage: Bacteria
Description: bacterial SSU rRNA
Rfam family: Bacterial small subunit ribosomal RNA
Source: RNAcentral
UGAGGAAUAUUGGUCAAUGGGCGGGAGCCUGAACCAGCCAAGCCGCGUGAGGGAAGAAGGCCCUAUGGGUCGUAAACCUCUUUUGUCAGGGAACAAAAGCGAGUAUGUAUACUGGUCUGAGUGUACCUGAAGAAAAAGCAUCGGCUAACUCCAUGCCAGCAGCCGCGGUAAUACGGAGGAUGCGAGCGUUAUCCGGAUUUAUUGGGUUUAAAGGGUGCGUAGGCGGCGGUGCAAGUCAGCGGUAAAAGCCCGGGGGCUCAACCCCGGCGAGCCGUUGAAACUGCAGUGCUAGAGAAGGCGAGAGGUACGCGGAAUGCGCAGUGUAGCGGUGAAAUGCUUAGAUAUUGCGCAGAACUCCGAUUGCGAAGGCAGCGUACUGGCGCCUGACUGACGCUGAGGCACGAAAAGCGUGGGGGAUCGAACAGGGGGUUAGAUACC